This 348-nucleotide ribosomal RNA is filed under the name uncultured bacterium. RNAcentral describes it as "partial 16S ribosomal RNA". It matches the Rfam family "Bacterial small subunit ribosomal RNA", at positions 338 to 701 of the family's 1533-position model. The record is from RNAcentral.
CCUACGGGAGACUGCAGUGGGGAAUAUUGGGCAAUGGGCGCAAGCCUGACCCAGCAACGCCGCGUGAAGGAAGAAGGCUUUCGGGUUGUAAACUUCUUGUAAGAGGGAAGAGCAGAAGAAGGUACCUCUUGAAUAAGCCACGGCUAACUACGUGCCAGCAGCCGCGGUAAUACGUAGGUGGCAAGCGUUGUCCGGAUUUACUGGGUGUAAAGGGCGUGCAGCCGGGAAGACAAGUCAGAUGUGAAAUCCCGCGGCUCAACCGCGGAACGGCAUUUGAAACUGUUUUUCUUGAGUACCGGAGAGUUCAUCGGAAUUCCUUGUGUAGCGGUGAAAUGUGUAGAUAUAAGG